This 372-nucleotide ribosomal RNA is filed under the name uncultured organism. RNAcentral's name for it is "bacterial SSU rRNA". It matches the Rfam family "Bacterial small subunit ribosomal RNA", at positions 526 to 896 of the family's 1533-position model. The record is from RNAcentral.
CGGGGGGGGCAAGCGUUGUGCGGAAUUACUGGGCGUAAAGGGCGCGUAGGCGGUUUGUUAAGUUGAAUGUGAAAACUCUGGGCUUAACCCAGAGCCUGCAUUCAAUACUGGCAGGCUAGAGUUCUGGAGGGGAUAGCGGAAUUCCUGGUGUAGCGGUGAAAUGCGUAGAUAUCAGGAGGAACACCGGUGGCGAAGGCGGCUAUCUGGACAGAGUCUGACGCUGAGGCGCGAAAGCUAGGGGAGCAAACAGGAUUAGAUACCCUGGUAGUCCUAGCCCUAAACGAUGGAUACUUGCUGUGACUGGGAUUGAAUCCAGCCGUGGCGAAGCUAACGCAUUAAGUAUCCCGCCUGGGGAGUACGGUCGCAAGGCUG